AAGUCGUAACAAGGUUUCCGUAGGUGAACCUGCGGAAGGAUCAUUAGCGUAUUUGCCGGAGGAGUCGGCGGGGCUCGCACCCGCGGAGACGCGGCGCUGCAGCCUCUCCCUCGCCUUCUUCCAAACCGAACACCUGUGAACCUUUGGGUCGGUGGCCUUCGCGGGCCGCCUUCCCGUUUUCAUAAACUCUUUGUUUGAUGAAUGUCCGAUUCGGGGCAGCCCCGAUGUCGAAACUUUGAAACAACUUUCAGCAACGGAUCUCUUGGCUCUC
This 271-nucleotide unclassified non-coding RNA is filed under the name air metagenome. RNAcentral describes it as "partial contains small subunit ribosomal RNA, internal transcribed spacer 1, and 5.8S ribosomal RNA". The stretch from base 1 to 46 matches the Rfam family "Eukaryotic small subunit ribosomal RNA", at positions 1786 to 1831 of the family's 1831-position model. The record is from RNAcentral.